Molecule: long non-coding RNA, 290 nt
Filed under: Marmota marmota marmota (Alpine marmot)
Lineage: Eukaryota; Metazoa; Chordata; Mammalia; Rodentia; Sciuridae
Description: lncRNA (ENSMMMG00000011185.1)
Source: RNAcentral
UUUCUCAGGACCAGCACGGGGUCAGGGCUGCGGAGAUGGAGCCCCUGCAGACUUCCCUUGGAAUCAGAGAGCAGGGAGGACACGCCCCGGAGAGACACAGGGUCCCCUCCUCCAGCCUCCUGUGCGCCAAGAGAAUGCCCAAUGCCUGCCUGUGACUUACGCAAUUUCUUACAUCCAACAUGAAACCUCUCCUUGGAUGAAGCAUUUAAAACGAAGUCAUCAAGUGAAAGGGGACGCCUUCUCUCCAAGCUCGUGAUCCGUGCUGCCCCUGGGUGGGACCCUCCAGACCU